This 300-nucleotide ribosomal RNA is filed under the name uncultured Methanocella sp. RNAcentral describes it as "partial 16S ribosomal RNA". It matches the Rfam family "Bacterial small subunit ribosomal RNA", at positions 496 to 795 of the family's 1533-position model. The record is from RNAcentral. Lineage: Archaea; Methanobacteriati; Methanobacteriota; Methanomicrobia; Methanocellales; Methanocellaceae.
GCGAUAUUCGGGCAAGUGGUGGCGGUAAUACGGGGGGUGCAAGUGUUAUCCGUAGUGAUUGGGUUUAAAGGGUCCGUAGGCGGGCGUAUAAGUCAGUGGUGAAAGCCGGCAGCUUAACUGUCGAACUGCCAGUGAUACUGUAAGUCUUGAGUGUAUUUGAAGUGGCUGGAAUAAGUAGUGUAGCGGUGAAAUGCAUAGAUAUUACUUAGAACACCAAUUGCGAAGGCAGGUCACUAAGAUACAACUGACGCUGAUGGACGAAAGCGUGGGGAGCGAACAGGAUUAGAUACCCGAGUAGUC